CCUACGGGAGGCAGCAGUGAGGAAUAUUGGUCAAUGGACGCAAGUCUGAACCAGCCAUGCCGCGUGCAGGAAGACGGCUCUAUGAGUUGUAAACUGCUUUUGUACGAGGGUAAACGCAGGUACGUGUAUCUGUUUGAAAGUAUCGUAUGAAUAAGGAACGGCUAACUUCGGGCCAGCAGCCGCGGUAAUACGGAGGAUUCAAGCGUUAUCUGGAUUUAUUGGGUUUAAAGGGUGCGUAGGCGGGGGGAUAAGUUAGAGGUGAAAUCCCGAGGCUCAACCGCGGAAUUGCAUCUGAUACUGGUCGGCUAGAGAGUAGUUGGGGUAGGCGGAAUGUAUGGUGUAGCGGUGAAAUGCUUAGAGAUCAUGCAGAACACCGAUUGCGAAGGCAGCUUACCAAGCUGCUUCUGACGUUGAGGCACGAAAGCGUGGGGAGCAAACAGGAUUAGAUACCCUUGUAGUC
This 460-nucleotide ribosomal RNA is filed under the name uncultured bacterium. RNAcentral's name for it is "partial 16S ribosomal RNA". It matches the Rfam family "Bacterial small subunit ribosomal RNA", at positions 338 to 795 of the family's 1533-position model. The record is from RNAcentral.